This 665-nucleotide unclassified non-coding RNA is filed under the name Hevea brasiliensis (rubber tree). The record is from RNAcentral. Lineage: Eukaryota; Viridiplantae; Streptophyta; Magnoliopsida; Malpighiales; Euphorbiaceae.
GCCGAUAAUUCUAUAUCUUCGUUUCUCUGUGUCUUUUCGAUCUCGAUCGGACGGUCCAGAAUGAACGUUGCUUCUCGUGCUUCUUUUCUGUGGUUUUAGAUCCCGAUACGUCCAGAUCUACCAUCUCUCUGCUCUGAUCUGUCUUCUCGGGAACAGUCGCCGCGCGAAUGGAGAUAGCAAAUGCUUCAGCAGGUGUCACGCUCGGUGAUGGCUCACUGGCACGCGCCAGUAAGGGUUUAGCUGCUUUACUGGCUUCGGCUCUGCUUAACAACCAGCGCCUGGCUCAGGAUCCCCUUGGGGCAUUUUUGAUCAAACCUGGAAUGAAAGGAGAUAGUCCCACCCAGUGCCCAUCAUCCACACCACUUGACGCUGAAGAAGAUGGUGAUGACGACGACGACGGGGAUGGAGAUGGCGACUUGAGUGAAGGUGAAGGUGAAGAGGAUUUAUCAUCUGAAGAUGGAGAUGACUACACCAACAACCUCAACGACAAUAACAAAAGUAAUUCAAAGAAGAAUUCGGAGGGUGGAGCUGGUGGGGCAGAAGAGAAUGGGGAGGAAGAAGAAGAGUUUGAUGGGGAGGAGGAUCAAGAUGAUGAUGGCGAUGACGAUGAUGAUAAUGAUGACGGUGAUGACGAUGACGACGAUGACGAUGGUGAUGAUGAUGAU